UGAGCAAUCUGCCCUUCUCAUCGGAAUAACCAUUGGAAACGAUGGCUAAUGCCGAAUAUGACCUCGGAUCAUAUGUUCUGAGGUGGAAAGCUCCGGCGGAGAAGGAUGAGCUCGCGGCCUAUCAGCUUGUUGGUGAGGUAAUGGUUCACCAAGGCAUUGACGGGUAGCCGGCCUGAGAGGGUGACCGGCCACACUGGGACUGAGACACGGCCCAAAUCCGUACGGG
RNAcentral lists this ribosomal RNA (226 nucleotides) under uncultured bacterium. Its description in RNAcentral is "partial 16S ribosomal RNA". It matches the Rfam family "Bacterial small subunit ribosomal RNA", at positions 118 to 345 of the family's 1533-position model. The record is from RNAcentral.